AAAAAUAUUCAACGAUGGAUAUCUUGGUUCCCAUAUCGAUGAAGAACGCAGCGAAAUGCGAUACGCAAUGCGAAUUGCAGGAACGCGAGUCAUCAGAUCUUUGAACGCAACUGGCGCCUACUAACAAUAGGCAUGUUCGGCUCAGUGU
This 148-nucleotide ribosomal RNA is filed under the name Protocyclidium citrullus. RNAcentral describes it as "5.8S ribosomal RNA". It matches the Rfam family "5.8S ribosomal RNA". From Rfam's summary of the family: 5.8S ribosomal RNA (5.8S rRNA) is a component of the large subunit of the eukaryotic ribosome. It is transcribed by RNA polymerase I as part of the 45S precursor that also contains 18S and 28S rRNA. Lineage: Eukaryota; Ciliophora; Oligohymenophorea; Pleuronematida; Cyclidiidae. The record is from RNAcentral.